GGCCCGUUAGCUCAGCUGGUUAGAGCGUGGUGCUAAUAACGCCAAGGUCGCGGGUUCGAUCCCCUCACGGGCCA
Molecule: transfer RNA, 74 nt
Organism: Orchesella cincta
Lineage: Eukaryota; Metazoa; Arthropoda; Collembola; Entomobryomorpha; Orchesellidae
Rfam family: tRNA
About the family: Transfer RNA (tRNA) molecules are approximately 80 nucleotides in length.
Source: Rfam